This 274-nucleotide ribosomal RNA is filed under the name uncultured bacterium. RNAcentral describes it as "partial 16S ribosomal RNA". It matches the Rfam family "Bacterial small subunit ribosomal RNA", at positions 523 to 796 of the family's 1533-position model. The record is from RNAcentral.
AUACGGAGGGUGCAAGCGUUACUCGGAAUCACUGGGCGUAAAGCGCGCGCAGGCGGUCUUUUAAGUUGGGUGUGAAAGCCUACGGCUCAACCGUAGAACUGCAUCCAAAACUAUUAGACUAGAGUGUGGGAGAGGAAGAUGGAAUUAGUUGUGUAGGGGUAAAAUCCGUAGAGAUAACUAGGAAUACCAAAAGCGAAGGCAAUCUUCUGGAACACUACUGACGCUGAGGCGCGAAAGCGUGGGGAGCAAACAGGAUUAGAAACCCUAGUAGUCC